CCAUCACUUUCUUAAUCUCCACCUCCUCUUCCUUGUCCUCCUCCUCCUUGUUCCUCAUGACCAUCUUCAUCAUCAACACCCCCAAUAUCACCUGAAGGUCAGCCUCACAAGUCCAAUUUCCUUAUGAGCUUCUUUGCUGCAAUGUCCACAAAAGAGGCUCAAGGACAUUUCCUAAAUUCUAGAGGGACUGGCUGGGUUGCAGCUUCAUGAGGUCCAAGAUCUAGCCACUUAGUAAGGUAGAGGCUCCGCAGUGAAGAUGCAGCAUGGUUCAGGACAGGGACCUAGCUCUCAGGAACUUGGUCCACUAGGCACCAAUGCAAAUUCUUUCACACACUAGCUGUAUGACUUUGGGCAAGUCAGAAACCUCUCUGAGCCUCAGUUCCCUUCUCUGCUAAAUGGGGAUAAAACAUCCACCCUCAUCUGCCAGGUUGUGGUGUGGACUCUAAGCAAAGUACAUUUAUUCACAGAUUAAAAAGUAUAUGUGCUCUUAUUAGUAGUACUACUAUUAUAGAAUAUAUCUACCAGCUCCCGGAGGAACCAAAAGUUCACCUUCCAGGGCACUGAGUCAAGUGAUGAUGAUGAUGACAACAACGACAAUACCAAUGAUAGUGAGGAUGAUGAUGAUGAGAAUUAUGAUGUUGAGGAUAUGAUGAGGAGGAGGAGGAUGGCAGAUGAUGAUGAUGGUGAGGAUAAUGAUGAUGGUGAGGAUGAUGAUGGUGAGGAUGAUGAUGGUGAAGAUGAUGAU
This 745-nucleotide long non-coding RNA is filed under the name Sus scrofa (pig). RNAcentral's name for it is "lncRNA (ENSSSCG00015034386.1)". The record is from RNAcentral. Lineage: Eukaryota; Metazoa; Chordata; Mammalia; Artiodactyla; Suidae.